Molecule: ribosomal RNA, 433 nt
Filed under: uncultured bacterium
Lineage: Bacteria
Description: bacterial SSU rRNA
Rfam family: Bacterial small subunit ribosomal RNA
Source: RNAcentral
AACGCGAAGAACCUUACCUAGGUUGAACUACGCAGGAAAAGCCAUAGAGAUAUGGUGUCCGAAAGGGUCUGCGAUAGGUGGUGCAUGGCUGUCGUCAGCUCGUGUCGUGAGAUGUUGGGUUAAGUCCCGCAACGAGCGCAACCCUUAUUCUAUGUUGCCAGCGGGUAAUGCCGGGGACUCGUAGAAGACUGCCGGGGUCAACUCGGAGGAAGGUGGGGAUGACGUCAAGUCAUCAUGCCCCUUAUGCCUAGGGCUGCAAACAUGCUACAAUGGCUGGUACAAAGGGCUGCUAUUCCGCGAGGAUGAGCGAAUCCCAUAAAGCCAGUCUCAGUUCGGAUUGGAGUCUGCAACUCGACUCCAUGAAGUCGGAGUCGCUAGUAAUCCCGGAUCAGCAAUGCCGGGGUGAAUACGUUCCCGGGUCUUGUACACACCG